AAACCAGCACCUCAAGUGGUCAGGAGGAUUAUUGGGCCUAAAGCAUCCGUAGCCUGUUCUAUAAGUUUCCGGUUAAAUCCACUAGCUCAACUAAUGGGCUGCCGAAAAUACUGUAGAACUAGGGAGUGGGAGAGGUAGACGGUAUUCGGUAGGAAGGGGUAAAAUCCUUUGAUCUAUUGAUGACCACCUGUGGCGAAGGCGGUCUACCAGAACACGUUCGACGGUGAGGGAUGAAAGCUGGGGGAGCAAACCGGAUUAGAUACCCGGGUAGUCC
RNAcentral lists this ribosomal RNA (274 nucleotides) under uncultured bacterium. Its description in RNAcentral is "partial 16S ribosomal RNA". It matches the Rfam family "Archaeal small subunit ribosomal RNA", at positions 473 to 747 of the family's 1478-position model. The record is from RNAcentral.